RNAcentral lists this ribosomal RNA (202 nucleotides) under uncultured microorganism. RNAcentral describes it as "partial 16S ribosomal RNA". It matches the Rfam family "Bacterial small subunit ribosomal RNA", at positions 9 to 220 of the family's 1533-position model. The record is from RNAcentral.
GAGUUUGAUCGUGGCUCAGAACGAACGCUGGCGGCGUGGAUAAGACAUGCAAGUCGAACGGGAGAAUUGCUAGCUUGCUAAUAAUUCUCUAGCGGCGCACGGGUGAGUAACACGUGAGUAACCUGCCCCCGAGAGCGGGAUAGCCCUGGGAAACUGGGAUUAAUACCGCAUAGUAUCGAAAGAUUAAAGCAGCAAUGCGCUU